Molecule: ribosomal RNA, 1409 nt
Filed under: uncultured bacterium
Lineage: Bacteria
Description: bacterial SSU rRNA
Rfam family: Bacterial small subunit ribosomal RNA
Source: RNAcentral
AGAGUUUGAUCCUGGCUCAGGACGAACGCUGGCGACGUGCUUAACACAUGCAAGUCGAACGGAGCACCCUUGAAAGAGAUUUCGGUCAAUGGAUAGGAAUGCUUAGAGGCGGACGGGUGAGUAACGCGUGAGGAACCUGCCUUUCAGAGGGGGACAACAGCUGGAAACGGCUGCUAAUACCGCAUAACACAUAGGUGUCGCAUGGCAUUUAUGUCAAAGAUUUAUCGCUGAGAGAUGGCCUCGCGUCUGAUUAGCUAGUUGGUAGGGUAACGGCCUACCAAGGCGACGAUCAGUAGCCGGACUGAGAGGAAGGUCCCCCACACUGGUACUGAGACACGGACCAGACUCCUACGGGAGGCAGCAGUGAGGAAUAUUGGUCAAUGGGCGCGAGCCUGAACCAGCCAAGUCGCGUGAGGGAUGACGGUCCUACGGAUUGUAAACCUCUUUUGCCGGGGAGCAAGCGUGCGUUCGUGAACGCGCGUCGAGAGUACCCGGAGAAAAAGCAUCGGCUAACUCCGUGCCAGCAGCCGCGGUAAUACGGAGGAUGCGAGCGUUAUCCGGAUUUAUUGGGUUUAAAGGGUGCGUAGGCGGGAUGCCAAGUCAGCGGUAAAAAAGCGGUGCUCAACGCCGUCGAGCCGUUGAAACUGGCGUUCUUGAGUGGGCGAGAAGUAUGCGGAAUGCGUGGUGUAGCGGUGAAAUGCAUAGAUAUCACGCAGAACUCCGAUUGCGAAGGCAGCAUACCGGCGCCCUACUGACGCUGAGGCACGAAAGCGUGGGUAUCGAACAGGAUUAGAUACCCUGGUAGUCCACGCAGUAAACGAUGAAUGCUAACUGUCCGGUGCGAGUGAGCGCUGGGCGGUACAGCGAAAGCGUUAAGCAUUCCACCUGGGGAGUACGCCGGCAACGGUGAAACUCAAAGGAAUUGACGGGGGCCCGCACAAGCGGAGGAACAUGUGGUUUAAUUCGAAGCAACGCGAAGAACCUUACCAGGCCUUGACAUGGGAUGCGAAGAUGCAGAGAUGCAUCGGAGGUCAACAUCCACACAGGUGUGCAUGGUUGUCGUCAGCUCGUGUCGUGAGAUGUUGGGUCAAGUCCCGCAACGAGCGCAACCCUUGUGGCAUGUUGCUAACAGGAAAAGCUGAGGACUCAUGCCAGACUGCCGGUGACAAACCGGAGGAAGGCGGGGAUGACGUCAAAUCAUCAUGCCCCUUAUGGCCUGGGCUACACACGUACUACAAUGGCGGCUACAAAGAGCAGCGAGACAGGGAUGUCGAGCGAAUCUCAUAAAAGCCGUCCCAGUUCGGAUUGGAGGCUGCAACCCGCCUCCAUGAAGUUGGAAUCGCUAGUAAUCGCGGAUCAGCAUGCCGCGGUGAAUACGUUCCCGGGCCUUGCACUCACCAAGGGUCAAG